Molecule: ribosomal RNA, 380 nt
Filed under: uncultured eukaryote
Lineage: Eukaryota
Description: partial 18S ribosomal RNA
Rfam family: Eukaryotic small subunit ribosomal RNA
Source: RNAcentral
CAAUAGCGUAUAUUAAAGUUGUUGCAGUUAGAACGCUCGUAGUCGGAUUUCGGGGCGUUCCGACCGGUCUGCCGAUGGGUAUGCACUGGCCGGAGUGCCCUUUUUGCCGGAGACCGUGCCUACUCUUAACUGAGCGGGGGCGGGAGACGGCACUUUUACUUUGAAAAAAUCAGAGUGUUUCAAGCAGGCAGCUCGCUCUUGCAUGGAUUAGCAUGGGAUAAUGAAAUAGGACUUUGGUGCUAUUUUGUUGGUUUCGAACACCGAAGUAAUGGUGAGAAGGGACAGUCAGGGGCACUCGUAUUCCGCAGAGAGAGGUGAAAUUCUCAGACCCGCGGAAGACGAACCACUGCGAAAGCAUUUGCCAGGGAUGUUUUCACUGA